UACGGGGGGUGCGAGCGUUGUCCGGAAUCACUGGGCGUAAAGGGCGCGUAGGUGGCGUCGUAAGUCUGUGGUGAAAGCCCGGAGCUCAACUCCGGGUCUGCCGCGGAUACUGCGAGGCUUGAGUGCUGUAGAGGGGGGUAGAAUGCCGGGUGUAGCGGUGGAAUGCGUAGAGAUCCGGCAGAAGACCGGUGGCGAAGGCGGCCCCCUGGGCAGUAACUGACACUGAGGCGCGACAGCGUGGGGAGCAAACGGG
This 253-nucleotide ribosomal RNA is filed under the name uncultured bacterium. RNAcentral describes it as "partial 16S ribosomal RNA". It matches the Rfam family "Bacterial small subunit ribosomal RNA", at positions 524 to 776 of the family's 1533-position model. The record is from RNAcentral.